This 459-nucleotide ribosomal RNA is filed under the name uncultured bacterium. RNAcentral's name for it is "partial 16S ribosomal RNA". It matches the Rfam family "Bacterial small subunit ribosomal RNA", at positions 338 to 795 of the family's 1533-position model. The record is from RNAcentral.
CCUACGGGAGGCAGCAGUGAGGAAUAUUGGUCAAUGGGCGCGAGCCUGAACCAGCCAAGUCGCGUGAGGGAAGACGGUCCUAUGGAUUGUAAACCUCUUUUGUCGGGGAGCAAAAGACGCCACGCGUGGCGUUCCGAGAGUACCCGAAGAAAAAGCAUCGGCUAACUCCGGGCCAGCAGCCGCGGUAAUACGGAGGAUGCGAGCGUUAUCCGGAUUUAUUGGGUUUAAAGGGUGCGCAGGCGGAAGAUCAAGUCAGCGGUAAAAUUGAGGGGCCCAACCGCUUCGAGCCGUUGAAACUGGUUGUCUUGAGUGAGCGAGAAGUAUGCGGAAUGCGUGGUGUAGCGGUGAAAUGCAUAGAUAUCACGCAGAACUCCGAUUGCGAAGGCAGCAUACCGGCGCUCAACUGACGCUCAUGCACGAAAGUGUGGGUAUCGAACAGGAUUAGAUACCCUAGUAGUC